Molecule: ribosomal RNA, 468 nt
Filed under: uncultured bacterium
Lineage: Bacteria
Description: partial 16S ribosomal RNA
Rfam family: Bacterial small subunit ribosomal RNA
Source: RNAcentral
GACGAACGCUGGCGGCGUGCUUAACACAUGCAAGUCGAACGGAAAGGCCCUGCUUUUGUGGGGUGCUCGAGUGGCGAACGGGUGAGUAACACGUGAGUAACCUGCCCUUGACUUUGGGAUAACUUCAGGAAACUGGGGCUAAUACCGGAUAGGAGCUCCUGCUGCAUGGUGGGGGUUGGAAAGGUUCGGCGGUUGGGGAUGGACGCGCGGCUUAUCAGCUUGUGGGUGGGGUAGUGGCUUACCAAGGCUUUGACGGGUAGCCGGCCUGAGAGGGUGACCGGCCACAUUGGGACUGAGAUACGGCCCAGACUCCUACGGGAGGCAGCAGUGGGAAAUAUUGCACACUGGGCGGCAGCCUGAUGCAGCAACUCCGCGUGCGGGAUGACGGCCUUCGGGUUGUAAACCGCUUUCGCCUGUGACGAAGCGUGAGUGACGGUAAUGGGUAAAGAAGCACCGGCUAACUACGUG